This is a non-coding RNA of Cinara cedri, 213 nucleotides long. The record is from the annotation of a GenBank genome assembly. NCBI's taxonomy places the organism in Eukaryota, Metazoa, Arthropoda, Insecta, Hemiptera, Aphididae.
UUUUCAAGUUUUUCUCCCAAGCGAUAAUACGUAUAAUUUCAAUAACACAUACCUACCGAAUCAACAACACGCAUUGUUUUGAACAUUCUACCGAAAUGCCAAUAUAAGUGUUUCGUGAAAAACGCGCGUCUCUACGAACGGCUUUCAACCGAAUAACAACAAAAAUCCCAAAUGCGGUACACUUGGCCAUAAUAUUCCCCGUGUUUUUUCCCG